AAAACUUUCAACAACGGAUCUCUUGGCUCUGGCAUCGAUGAAGAACGCAGCGAAAUGCGAUAAGUAAUGUGAAUUGCAGAAUUCCGUGAAUCAUCGAAUCUUUGAACGCACAUUGCGCCCUUUGGUAUUCCGAAGGGCAUGCCUGUUCGAGCGUCAUUA
Molecule: ribosomal RNA, 159 nt
Filed under: Tornabea scutellifera
Lineage: Eukaryota; Fungi; Ascomycota; Lecanoromycetes; Caliciales; Physciaceae
Description: 5.8S ribosomal RNA
Rfam family: 5.8S ribosomal RNA
About the family: 5.8S ribosomal RNA (5.8S rRNA) is a component of the large subunit of the eukaryotic ribosome.
Source: RNAcentral